UUUUGCAUGCCACAUUAUUGAAUCGUCAUCAUACAAGGGAGCCCAUUAGAGCCACAUUUUCAAUUUACAAAAUACUUGACAAAAAAAUGAAUUAUUAGACAUGAUUGAUUAAAUUGGAAAGCAUAGGGAUACAUGUGAUGAAAUUAAAAGUGCAGGGCCACAACUGAUUUAACAUGUAAAUGUUAGGGAGGUAAAGUGAAAUUAGCUCUUUUUUUAAUAUUUAAAGGAUAUUUUGAUUUUGGUGACAAAAUGUCUUCUUUGAAAGGAUAUUAGAAACUGCUCACACCCUAUGUGUGUGGGAAAGUGGGUGGUUAUCCAUCUAGAAGUUUUUAGUUAGUUUUUGAAAUUAAUAAAUUUUUCUAAUUUUGAUUUUUUUUAUCCCUGACAAUAAAAGUAGGGUGGUGCUAUUCGCACACCCAUUUUCUCUAUUCACACACCACUCUAUUUAUCUAUAACUUUAAAUUUUUUUUUUUACAAAGUAUCUCUCUAACAUGAUGCUUUGAAGUUUAAUUAUGGCAAAACAAGCAACUUUAGACCCCAUCUUUAGAGAAAAUUUUACAUCUGAUUUCCAAUGGAGACAUGAAAGAAAAAUAUGAGCUUAGUGAUCAUUCGAGCCCCUUUGAAUCCAUCAUUCCUGGUUAGAUUCUAACUAAAAUUAUUUGGUGUAUUUUAAUCCAUCGCUCUCGGCUAAAAAUAUCAAUUUCUCAAUGAUUUGGUGGACUAGGAGCUUUAAAUUUGUGAGUUAUGUUCAUCUUAGUUUUAUUUUGGUAUGGCUUCCUUGCUAAUCUUGGUUUUGACUUGAGUUGAUUGAUAAUUUUGAAAUUGUUGGCGCUUUGAUUUCAUUUUGACUUUAGUCAUAUCAUCACUCUACAUAAUGUUUUUUGUCACUGGGAAUUGUAUCUUGAAUCAACGUUGCUUAAUCAGAUGUGAGAGCAAUCAUGGCAUACCUAAAUCCCCAAACUCAGAUACAUCGUGA
RNAcentral lists this long non-coding RNA (976 nucleotides) under Rosa chinensis. RNAcentral's name for it is "sRNA RchiOBHm_Chr2g0144851". Lineage: Eukaryota; Viridiplantae; Streptophyta; Magnoliopsida; Rosales; Rosaceae. The record is from RNAcentral.